RNAcentral lists this ribosomal RNA (709 nucleotides) under Bacillus cereus. RNAcentral describes it as "bacterial SSU rRNA". It matches the Rfam family "Bacterial small subunit ribosomal RNA", at positions 52 to 737 of the family's 1533-position model. Lineage: Bacteria; Bacillati; Bacillota; Bacilli; Caryophanales; Bacillaceae. The record is from RNAcentral.
AAGAUGCAAGCUCGAGCGGAAUGGUAUUAGGAGCUUGCUCUUAUGAAGUUAGGGGCGGGCGGGGGAAGUAACACGUGGGUAACCUGCCCAUAAGAGUGGGAUAACUCCGGGAAACCGGGGCUAAUACCGGAUAACAUUUUGAACCGCAUGGUUCAAAAUUGAAAGGCGGCUUCGGCUGUCACUUAUGGAUGGACCCGCGUCGCAUUAGCUAGUUGGUGAGGUAACGGCUCACCAAGGCAACGAUGCGUAGCCGACCUGAGAGGGUGAUCGGCCACACUGGGACUGAGACACGGCCCAGACUCCUACGGGAGGCAGCAGUAGGGAAUCUUCCGCAAUGGACGAAAGUCUGACGGAGCAACGCCGCGUGAGUGAUGAAGGCUUUCGGGUCGUAAAACUCUGUUGUUAGGGAAGAACAAGUGCUAUUUGAAUAAGCUGGCACCUUGACGGUACCUAACCAGAAAGCCACGGCUAACUACGUGCCAGCAGCCGCGGUAAUACGUAGGUGGCAAGCGUUAUCCGGAAUUAUUGGGCGUAAAGCGCGCGCAGGUGGUUUCUUAAGUCUGAUGUGAAAGCCCACGGCUCAACCGUGGAGGGUCAUUGGAAACUGGGAGACUUGAGUGCAGAAGAGGAAAGUGGAAUUCCAUGUGUAGCGGUGAAAUGCGUAGAGAUAUGGAGGAACACCAGUGGCGAAGGCGACUUUCUGGUCUGU